Non-coding RNA from Salmo salar (Atlantic salmon), 164 nucleotides. NCBI's taxonomy places the organism in Eukaryota, Metazoa, Chordata, Actinopteri, Salmoniformes, Salmonidae. The record is from RefSeq and is a predicted model, not a curated record.
AAGUUCAGUGGGGGGAAGAGAAAGGGGACUCUGAAAUACGAAGACAAAAAGACACAAAACAGACCUGAAAGGGCCCUGUCUUCUACACGGGAAGACUAUUGUCACAUCAAAGAAGCAACACGAAACGAAGGUCUUGACUGCCUGAACCACGACAAAAAAAUAAG